GGAUGAACGCUGGCGGCGUGCCUAAUCCAUGCAAGUCGAGCGAACGGACGAGAAGCUUGCUUCUCUGAUGUUAGCGGCGGACGGGUGAGUAACACGUGGAUAACCUACCUAUAAGACUGGGAUAACUUCGGGAAACCGUAGCUAAUACCGGAUAAUAUUUUGAACCGCAUGGUUCAAAAGUGAAAGACGGUCUUGCUGUCACUUAUAGAUGGAUCCGCGCUGCAUUAGCUAGUUGGUAAGGUAACGGCUUACCAAGGCAACGAUGCAUAGCCGACCUGAGAGGGGGGUAGGCCACACUGGAACUGAGACACGGGCCAGACUCCGACGGGAGGAAGCAGUAGGGAAUCUUCCGCAAUGGGCGAAAGCCUGACGGAGCAACGCCGCGUGAGUGAUGAAGGUAUUCGGAUCGUAAAACUCUGUUAUUAGGGAAGAACAUAUGUGUAAGUAACUGUGCACAUCUUGACGGUACCUAAUCAGAAAGCCACGGCUAACUACGUG
Molecule: ribosomal RNA, 498 nt
Filed under: uncultured bacterium
Lineage: Bacteria
Description: partial 16S ribosomal RNA
Rfam family: Bacterial small subunit ribosomal RNA
Source: RNAcentral